This 402-nucleotide ribosomal RNA is filed under the name bacterium. Its description in RNAcentral is "partial 16S ribosomal RNA". It matches the Rfam family "Bacterial small subunit ribosomal RNA", at positions 355 to 776 of the family's 1533-position model. The record is from RNAcentral.
CGGGGAAUUUUGCACAAUGGGGGAAACCCUGAUGCAGCGACGCCGCGUGAUUUAGAAGGCCUUCGGGUUGUAAAAAUCUUUUUUACGGGAUGAAAAUGACAGUACCGUAAGAAUAAGGUCCGGCUAAAUACGUGCCAGCAGCCGCGGUAAUACGUAUGGACCGAGCGUUGUCCGGAAUCAUUGGGCGUAAAGGGUACGUAGGCGGCCUAGUAAGUUAGAAGUGAAAUAAUAUAGCUCAACUAUAUAAAGCUUUUAAAACUGCUAGGCUUGAGAGAUGGAAGGGAAAGUGGAAUUCCUAGUGUAGCGGUGAAAUGCGCAGAUAUUAGGAAGAAUACCGGUGGCGAAGGCGACUUUCUGGUCAUCAUCUGACGCUGAGGUACGAAAGCGUGGGUAGCAAACAGG